This is a long non-coding RNA of Columba livia (rock pigeon), 7182 nucleotides long. RefSeq lists it as uncharacterized. Lineage: Eukaryota; Metazoa; Chordata; Aves; Columbiformes; Columbidae. The transcript has 2 exons. The record is from RefSeq and is a predicted model, not a curated record.
CUAAUCCACCCCAGGAUGCCAUUGGCCUUCCUGGCCACAAGGGCACAGUGCUGGCUCAUGGUCAUCCUGUUGUCCACCAGGACCCCCAGGUCCCUUUCCCCUACACUGCUCUCUAAUAUGUAAUUUCCCAACCUAUACUGGAACCUGGGGUUUUUCCUGCCCAGAUGCAGGACUCUACACUUUCCCUUGUUAAAUUUCAUUAGGUUAUUCCCCGCCCAACUCUCCAGCCAUUCUUUUGAAAGCCACAAGUUAGUUAGAACCUGCAGCGAGCUACUAGACUCCCCAAAAUUAUGUCGUAGCACAAUCAGCACAUAUUUCUCCACCGUAUCUGGUGUCACGGUGUCCCCUCCACCUGGUCCUGCCUUGCCCAGGAAUUCGCCUUCUCUGAUGAGCCAGAAACCUGCAAAUCUGGCUCCUCAGCCCCAAAAUACGACGUGUAUAAUACAGGAUUACCUGAAAGACUUUGCAGAAGGUCUCGUGGUGGCAUCUGCCUUCUCCUGCAGGGGUAAAUGAGGCAUGUGUGGUGGUCUGCAAGCAAGCGGUGGGUAGAAGACAGCAAAUGCAAAAGAUAUUGCAUCCUGUGUGAAAUUUUGCCUUCAAUGUCCAGAAAUAAAGGGAUUUUUCCUCCAGAGAAGGGGCGCUGUUCUGGAACCCAUUCAGACCACGUCCUAAACGCCAUCAGGGUGUCCCGCGAGCACAGGCGGCUCCAUUCAAACCGGGAAUGAUCACAGGCUUUUCUCCUUGAAAUGUCCUGACCCUCUCUCCCGCAGAGAACCGGCUCCGCAUCAAACGAAUCGGAAACGCCAUCAUUCGGAUUGCCGAGUCAAACCCGCAUGGGUCUUGUCACCCCAAAAAAGGACCACGCCGAACCCCACAGGACAGGCUGGGUCCUCGCUGUGUGAAGGAAGAGUCAAGCAGGUAAGGGGGAAAGGUUGUUCCAAAUCCCUGUUGCCUUUGGGAAAAGGAGUUACCCUGGCUGCACCUUCAGUGAUCCACCUCCAAACCCAAAACCUGCCUAUAAUCCAGUUUCAACACGUUUUCAUCCCAUUUCGAAGCCUUUCUUCAUGCCCACAUUUCCUCCGCAGUCGGUAAGUCCUAGCCCUCCUAUAAUAGAAAUGUCACUAAUGAUCAAUAUUUAAAGCGAUGCAAUGCUUAUCUUUAUAUUUACUACCCUGACCUUUAUAUAUUUGGAUUUUAUUUUAUGUUUUAUGUGGCCUUUUUCCGGAGCAAGAGCAACCGCAGCAGCUCCGGGAUUGCUGUUGCAUUAUAACUACGCACGCAGUACAUACAAUUACAGAACUUUAAUGCCUGGUAUAAUUACUGUCUGCAGUUCGCGUUAAUGCUCAGGGUGAUAUAGUGAAGCCAACAGCCCCGACACCGAGAGAUCUGCAUCCCAAGGGGUGACGCAAAACCGUCGCUUACGAUCCCGCCAUUAAUUAUUGCGCCUUGUGCGGAGAGGAUGAGGCUUUCCCGAAGCGUUUUGCACCCAGACUCGAUGGAAAAGCCGACACGGGAAUGACGUUGCGGUGCGUAAUGCUUUAUAACCAAGAACACGGCUUUGAUUUGCAUCUGGUAUUACGGAAAGGGAAAAAAUUAGGGGAAAAAGGGAUUGUUGUGGCUGGCAGCCUUGGCCAUUUAAAGGAAGGAGUUAAUAGGUUUGAUUGGACUGUGCUGAAAAGCCAAGAAAAGAAACGGAGAAGUGCUGAGGCAGCUCCUUGUUGUGGCUUUGAACUUGCAGCUUUGAAAAGAGGUGGGGAAAAUCUUAAGGAAUUAACGAGGACUACUGGGAAAUUACUCAGGAGGAACUUGAGUGCUCUCAGUUUGGAAAGAAAGAGAAAAAAAAACCCUUUAUAUAUAUAUAUAUAUAUAUAUAUAUAUAUAUGCAUUUGUAUGUAUGUGAGAGUGUGACCCCUUGGGCCGGCCGUUUGCCAUCACCUCGCUGAUUUUUUAUAACGAUGUAUUAAUUACGAGGUUGCUGGCAAGGGCAAGAGCUGCAUUUCUGCUGCUUGAGGGGCAAAUUCAGCCUUGAUCAGAAUAGCUCUCCUUUCAGGAAAUAGCACCUUUUUUUUUAUUUCGUCAAAAAAAAAAAAAGCCUCAAGAUAAAUAUUCUUGGAUGAAAAUCUAUAAAAAGCUCAGACUGACAAACUGGGUUUUUUUUUCGGCACUUCUUUUUCUCCCAACAAGAAUAUAUCUGUCAAGAGAAACAGAUGUUCUCUAUGAAAAAUCUUCUUUAAUUACAACUCUGUCAAAAAAACUGGAGACAGAUUUCUCUUCUUUUUCCCCCCCAAGUCCAUUAAAAUGUAUGCGAAUGGCCACGGUUUUAAAGCCACGGCUCGUAUUGUAAUAUAACAGUUAAAUCAAACAUCUCCCUAUUAAGCAGCCUGAGUAGCAGCAAAGCCACAAGUAAAAAUACACAGACAAAUCCAAGUUGGUUAAGGGCUGAUGUUUAAAGUGAGGCAUCAGGCCUAAACUUGAGCUUUCCUAGGCCGUGGUCUCUUUGGGGACCACAAACAACCCAAAUUUCUUCCGUCAGGGACUAAGGUGAGAUGAAUCCCCUCCAGAAUUUGGCAAAUCAAGCCAAAUAUUUGCAUCAUAAUAGCUGAAGAAGCGGCCAUUCUUUAAACCUCACGCUGUUCCUUCCGUGAUUCUCGCCGUGUGCGCCGUGAAUCUUAUUUUUUAGUAAAUCUUAUAUUAAAGGUCUAGCUAGCAGCCCUGGUUUCUCCAGCAGACGAUGGCAAUGAUGUGACAUAAAUGUUAAAAGAGUUUUCUCCAGCACAGCGGUUCCCCCAGGCUGGGAAUAAAGUUCUACUGGAGAUAGUGGCAGCAAUGCAAGGUUGGUAUUUCUUUAUUUAUUGGUUACAGUAAUUGGCCAGAACACGUCUGAGUAGGUGGAGGAAAAUAAUCAAUAGUUCUUGUCCACUAAUGAAUGAUUUUCCAGCAGUCGCCGGUGUAAAUAGGUUUCAUUAAAAUAGCAAAUCCUCCCAAACAAGAAAAUUAACGAGAGCUUAUGAAACCUAUGAAAUUGCCUGGGUCUGAAUUUCUGACAGAGGUGACAAAUAUCUGCUAUUGUUAUUUUUGGUAAACAGAUUUUCUUUUCAGUUUUCGCUCUUGUCACUUAAAUAAUAACAAUACUUAGCAAAUCCAUUAUUCCUCUCCCAGAAAUCUUGGAGUGCAAAAACGUGUCAGCCCCAACUCAGGGAAAAAUGUCCUAAUAAACCAGGAGUUUUAGGAGUUGAAUCACCAGCCCAGCCCAUUUAAAUCAAGCAGCUUUUCUUAAUUCCUGGGAAUAAAGUUGCUAAUUUUGCUCUUUCUUUUAGCAUCACUUCCAUUUAUUUUGUUCAGAGAAGAAAGCUCAAACGUGUAUUUGUUUUGGCCAGCCUGCAGUGUGGCUGCUUCAGCCCCAGGGGAAUGUCAAACACUUCAUCCGCAGCUCAAAAACCGACCCAAAAUUCUGAAGCCACUUGGUGAAAAGUUUCCUGACACAUUUUCUCAGUUUCUCGGUUACCGCUGGAAGAGUCCGGAGUCCUUGGGGGAGCAGCGAGGACGGUUCUGCAAGCGGCAAAACACUUGGUAACUCUCAGCGGCAGAGAAAGCUCUUGCUCUGCUUCUGGCUCUCAAAAUCAUCUCCUCAUUUUCUCAUCCUUCUUAUCUUUUCUCCUUCUCCUCUCUUCUUCCUCUUCUUUUUCUCCUCCUUCUCCCCCUUUUUUUUCUUCUCCUUGUUCUCAUCCUUUUCCUUCUUUUCUCCUCCUCCUCCUUUUUUCCUUCUUCUCAUCCUUCUCCUUUUCUCUUCCCUCCCCUUGUUGUCCUCCUUUUCUCCUCCUCCCCUUUUCUUCCUCCUCAUCCUGCUCCUUUUCUCCCUUUCCUCCUCCUUGUCCUCCUCCUUCUUGACCUUCUCCCCUUCUCUUCCUCCUUGUCCUACUCCUAUUCUCCUUCUCCCCUUCUCCUCCUUUUCACCCUUUUCUCCUCCUUGUUCUCCUCCUUCUUGUCCUUCUCCUUUUCGCCUUCUCCCCUUCUACUCCUUGUCCUUCUCCACGUCCUUCUCUUUUUCUCCUUGUCAUUCUCCUUCCCUUCUUCUCCUUUUCUCCUUCUUUUCUCCUCCCUUCUUUCCUCUUUUCCCUUCCCUCAUCCCCCCAGACCUCUCUCCCCCCAUCUUUCCUCCCUCUCCCCGUCACCCUCUCGAUGGACAAGGCUCAAGAGCAGGAGCAGGUUUGAGGCACCACGUGUCUGUGCAUCGACCAGACAGCAGAUGGGAAAUUGCUCUGGUAAUCUCCCUUCAACAGAGGUGCUCCCAUUUUUCACGACAGCCAGUCCUUUCGGGAUGUGGAUGAAAAGAGAAAGCAUUUCAUUUGCUCUUCGGCAACCGGAGCUAUAGAUCAAGGCCCUGCUCAUUCCCCUGAACACUAGAAAUGCAUUUUUUUGUGCAAGAAUUGAGGCUAUCCUCCGUGAAAACUAAAACAGUUACCUACACUUUCAUCUAGAGGUCAAGAGUAGAGAUUUUUUUUCUCCAAAAGCUGGAUAAAUCCAGGCUGUUGGUGCCUCUCCUUAGUUAUUGCUUUUUGCUACAUGAAGAUCAAGCAAACACCUCUGCUUCCCAACUUGCCUUGCCUGUUUGUACAAAUUGGCCAAACAUCUUCUUUGGUGAUGCAGAUGCCCAGGUCUGUUGAACCCUCGCAGGUGGCCCAGGAAAGGCUAUUGUUUUAGAGCACAACCCACAGCCGGGCACCUCACCCAUUGAGCCGGUAUGUUGGGUGGGUUUGGGAUGUCUUCUCCUCCUCCAGGCAGCUUGUCCUCCUGCCACUUGUCUUCUGCACCCUGGGGGCUGUUUUUGGGGAGAUGGUGACUCCAUCUGUUCAGGGAAAACAGAUCCUGGUGUUGCACAGACACCUGAGAACUGUCAUCAUGUAGCAGAAGAUAAAUCUUGACCUGUUCCCCAGGAGAGGAGUUGCCUCCAGCUAAAGCAUCACCUUCAUGCAGCCUCCACUGGUGUUACACUGGGGUUCCACUCUGAAAAGUGGCUGUGACUGGUUUGCACUGGGCAAGUUGGUGCAUUGCCCAGUGCUCAUCACCUUGUCUCAGCCACAUGGAGACCACAGCUCUCCAGCAGCCACCCAAGAGGCCAAGCGUGUGUGGGCAGAGUUGUCUUUGUGUACCAAAGAGAUCUGGGGUAAAUCUCCAUAGCUCAGGCUCAGCUUUGCGAGGAGACGGCUUUGCCACCAGCCACCCCAGUGCAUGUCCUGCCUUGGGAGUCACAGCUCUUGGGGACUUCCCAACACAGAGUCAUUUUGGUUGGAAAAGCCCCUCAAGACCAUCAAGUCCAACCGUUCCCCCAGCCCUGGCACUGCCCCAUGUCCUGAGAGCCUCAUCUCCGUCUGUCCAACCCUCCAGGGACGGUGACUCCAGCACUGCCCUGGGCAGCCUGUUCCAAUGCCCCACAGCCCUUUGGGGAAGAAAUUGUUCCCCAGAUCCAACCUCAACCUCCCCUGGCGCAACUUGAGGCCGUUUCCUCUGGUUCUGGCGCUUGUUCCUGGGGAGCAGAGACCAACAAGUUUCAAAGUUAGACAUUAGGAGAAAGUUUUGGAGUAUAGUGGUUGCUGAUCUCCAGAGGGUUCUCUUCCUCCUCUAGUUUUAAGAGGAGAAUCUCAUUACAGGGUGGGGGAUCAGGAAGGUGUAAGCCAAAGCUGGAUGUGUGUUUUGGCUUUUAGAGCAGCCUGUGUGCACCGUGUGAACCCCAAAGCCAAAGCUCACAGCUAACAUUGCAGCACGGCCUGAGCACGAGGAAUGUGAUUGCCCUUGGCUCUGCUAUAGGGGAAGCCACUUCCAGCCUCUUCCGCCUCUCCAGAGCAUCACAAAACAUUUAAAGACAGAAAAUGCCAUUCAGGUGACUUCAACCAGGGCCCUGUGGGCUGAACUCUGUGUCUUGACCUUCUCUUGGUGUUACUGUCGUGGCUACCACCCCUGUCACUGUCCCUGCUCCACUCACCUGGCACGGGUGCGAUGGGACUGGGGCCACUUCUGCUCUCUGGACCCAGUAUUGUGGCAGAUGCAGAAGCCAUUCUGCACUCUGAUCCUCGCAGCCAUAAAUCCUGUGCCACUGUCACAAGCAGUGAUUGAGCCUGUCUGGCAUAAUUUAUUCCUCUGGAGCCCACGCAGUUACAGCGGAGAUGAUCACCCGCUCAAGGAGCAACGCGCAGGAUGAAAUCUUCCCCUCCUGAGAGCUCCUAUGGAAAAACACAGCAGUGUCCAUAAACCGCCAGCAUCGGUAUAUACCAUAUAUCCCCACUUCCCUGGGAUGCUUUAACCCCCCUCCCAACCCUUUCUCCUGGCACCAUGCUCACGUUUCUUUGAAGAAAUGGAGGGAUGGAGCAGCCCCAGGGAGAAAUUAUUAAUUUUGGAGCCUCAGCAGCCUACCCAGCACUCAUGGCCUUGCAGCUCCAUCUCUAUAUCCCGGAUUUCAGCCGUUCUGCAGGGCUUUGCUUGGUGCUGAUGCCCCGAGAGAGUCUCAGCCUAUACUGUGGGAUGAAUAGUUUUAUCUAGGGAGAGAUGCCCCCCCAUCAUGUCCCCUGUUCCCCCUUGCUUGGCUCCUCCUGAAGUGUGCUUUAUUGUUUGUCACCUGAAGCACUUGGAAAAAAAUUACACAAAUCCAUCAAAGUAAUGAAUCUUCUCAGCAGUGGCAAAUAGACAGAGACAGACGGGUGCUCAUCCGAAACAAGCCAGCGUCAAAAAUUAAUACUAAAUAAACAGUUUGGCUCUGUUUCCGGGGUGGUUUGGGCAAGGGGAUGGGCAGGUGAUGGCCCUUGAUGUGAGCGCGACACUGGAGUAGGGACAUGUCUUCCUCCAGGUCCCUGUCACCAUUGUGGUGUCAAUGCAACACCUCCAUCCUCACAAACAUCUGGCAGCCCCGAUGAUGGAGCAACACACUGGUCAAUGCUACAUUAUUCUGGUGACUUAUGCUUAGGAUAGGGCUGCAUUUUGGGGGUGUCAGAGCCUCAUCACCCCCCUCCACCCUCAGCCAGUUCCCCCAGCCCUCUGGGUUCUCAAACCAGUUUGUGUCUGAGCAAGCGUGUAAACGCCUUAGGGGAGAGACCGUGCUUGCUGCUACGCCUGGGCACUGCUUGUCACAGCGCGGGCUCCAUAAAUAAUAAAUAGUGGCGGUUCUGGCUCCUCUGAGCUUUCAUUUUGUUA